Rhipicephalus microplus (southern cattle tick) is the source of this 245-nucleotide long non-coding RNA. Lineage: Eukaryota; Metazoa; Arthropoda; Arachnida; Ixodida; Ixodidae. The record is from RefSeq and is a predicted model, not a curated record.
UGUUUUGAAAGCACAGAAGAAACGAUGUGCAUAUGCGAGACUGCGUUCGAAGUGUCCAUUCUGGCCGCCGUCUGCCUCGAGGAGUCGCCGAGUACGUCCUCUUUGUCUACCUUGGCGGCUCUGCGGCGAUCGCUUUGGUGCUGCUGUUGGGUGCCAUGAGCGGCAACAAGAAAAUGGUUGACAUCUUCGUGUGUUUCGCGAAGGUACGACUGGUGCUGUACUGCGUCUUGGCUGGUUUCCUGGCU